This 452-nucleotide ribosomal RNA is filed under the name uncultured bacterium. RNAcentral's name for it is "bacterial SSU rRNA". It matches the Rfam family "Bacterial small subunit ribosomal RNA", at positions 335 to 800 of the family's 1533-position model. The record is from RNAcentral.
ACUCCUACGGGAGGCAGCAGUGGGGAAUCUUGCACAAUGGACGAAAGUCUGAUGUAGCAACGCCGCGUGUGUGACGAAGGCCCGAGGGUCGUAAAGCACUGUCAGGAGGGAAGAACACAAUGACGGUACCUCCAAAGGAAGCACCGGCUAACUCCGUGCCAGCAGCCGCGGUAAUACGGAGGGUGCGAGCGUUGUUCGGAAUCAUUGGGCGUAAAGCGCACGUAGGCGGCUGUAUAAGUCUGGUGUGAAAGCCCGGGGCUCAACCUCGGAAUGCCAUCGGAAACUGUACAGCUUGAGAGCGAGGAGGGGUCAGUGGAAUCCUGGUGUAGGAGUGAAAUCCGUAGAGAUCAGGAGGAACACCGGCGGCGAAGGCGACUGACUGGAUCGCGUCUGACGCUGAUGUGCGAAAGCGUAGGUAGCAAACAGGAUUAGAUACCCUGGUAGGAUAGCGU